UACCAUUUGAUUAAAAAUCUGCAAAAGAGAUAGAUUAUUAAGAAAUACAUGAGACAAAACUGAAAAAUUCAUAUAAAGUUUGGUGUUUUCAAGUCAAAGAGAUUAGAGAGAGGUUGGAGAGUUUUAGAAUGAUGAACAUUAGAUUUUUGUUGCAGCCAUUUGAGAGGAGGAGAGAGAAUGUGUAAAUUUUUAUUUUUAUAGGG
This 203-nucleotide long non-coding RNA is filed under the name Brassica rapa (field mustard). RNAcentral's name for it is "long non-coding RNA (BRAP_LNC006305)". The record is from RNAcentral. Lineage: Eukaryota; Viridiplantae; Streptophyta; Magnoliopsida; Brassicales; Brassicaceae.